UGAAAGCGAUGAAAACGGGGAAGGGGAGAGGACUGGCGCAAAAGCUUUAACACUGGAGCGUGAACGAAACUGUCAAUUAGACCCAGAUCUGCAUUGGCAAAUUCAAGACGUUUUGCUUUAAGUUGAGGACGAGGGGGGACAGUCAGACGUGCAGGAAACGUAAAACCGGUUUGAACAGAGGACUGUGCUUGCAUGAAUCGGAGUGACUGAUCACACGUUGGAGCUCGGGGAUGAAUCAUGAGUGAACACCAGUGCGCUGUAUGUGGCACAGGGAAACAAGCGUGCGCUCCCUCUUACACCUGACCCACAUCAGACCAGAUGCACAUGAAUCAACCCGAGAACUGUAACAAACUGAGGAGGAUGCGUGGAGGUGAGAUGCAGGUGGGGAUGGAGCCAUGCGCCUCCGAAACGCGGCUUGGGCAAAGGUGUGAAGGGUUAUGCGGAGCCCCAGGUGUCUGAGACGGGCCUGAUAAUUACCUGCAUGGCAGGCUGCUAUUUCUACACAGGUGGGUGGGCUGCUGCAUGUCUGCAGCAGAGGCUGGUGGAGCCCUUCAUUAGAUGGUCCAAUGACGCUCUACCGGGUGCACUUUCACUCACUGGUUUGCUGGGGUGGAUGCAAUUACCGAUUUCCUCAUAAUGGUUAUUCCAUCACUGCAGAACAGGAGACCACUAUAAACAAAAUGAAGUGCUAUUAUAUGCCGCUGAACAGUAAAAGCUUCACCUCAGUAUCCAUUCUCAGCAGCUAUACUGAUACACACCUACAUUUAUACCUCAAUAAACAAUUAUGCAUGCAAAAAAAAAAAAGAAAGAAAAAGAAAAAACAGUCAUGACGCAUUUUAAUUCACUUCUCGUAUUUCAAUGUUUUAUUAAUUUAAAUAAUUUAAAAUGGACACAAAAUGUCCAGCCAACAGUCUGCACAAUGACAGGAGUUUCAGAGGCACCUUUUCCAUCCAAUUUAACACAGUGCAUCAGAUGUGUGUUUCCUUGGGAAAUGUAGGCCCCGCAUGCAUUUAGAACAGAGAGAAAACCUGCCCAGGAAACCUCCCCAGUGCAACGGGUCAGGAGAUGAGUUCUAUCAAACGUGGAAGGUUUUUCCUGCAAUGUCUUCUCAGGUACCCACACGGCUGGUCGGACAGCUGGGUACGUGAGAGCACAUGCUGCAGGGGGAGCAGGGGUAGUUUCAACGAGUCACACCAAUGUAUGCUUAAUACAGAGAAUAAAUUAUUCAUUUUUUAUAGUCUGGCAGCCUACCCUGUUCCCUUAAAGCCACUGAUCUAGGUCUUCACACACAACCACAAGACAGCUGAAUAUGAACAUGUCGAUUAUAAACAACCUUUGAAAAUACUGGACAGUGAAACUAUUUUUAAAAAAAAAA
Acanthopagrus latus (yellowfin seabream) is the source of this 1375-nucleotide long non-coding RNA. RefSeq lists it as uncharacterized. The transcript has 2 exons. The record is from RefSeq and is a predicted model, not a curated record. Lineage: Eukaryota; Metazoa; Chordata; Actinopteri; Spariformes; Sparidae.